CGCGUAGGCGGCUUUUGUCAGUCGGAUGUGAAAGCCCCGGGCUUAACCUGGGAAUUGCAUUCGAAACUGCAGAGCUAGAGUAUGGUAGAGGGAAGUGGAAUUCCGGGUGUAGCGGUGAAAUGCGUAGAUAUCCGGAGGAACACCAGUGGCGAAGGCGACUUCCUGGGCCAAUACUGACGCUGAGGUGCGAAAGCGUGGGGAGCAAACA
RNAcentral lists this ribosomal RNA (208 nucleotides) under uncultured bacterium. Its description in RNAcentral is "partial 16S ribosomal RNA". It matches the Rfam family "Bacterial small subunit ribosomal RNA", at positions 568 to 774 of the family's 1533-position model. The record is from RNAcentral.